Molecule: long non-coding RNA, 1744 nt
Filed under: Pogona vitticeps (central bearded dragon)
Lineage: Eukaryota; Metazoa; Chordata; Lepidosauria; Squamata; Agamidae
Description: lncRNA (ENSPVIG00000005876.1)
Source: RNAcentral
GCUGCAUGUGCCCUGCAAGGGGACAUUAGGCCUGCUGCUGAGCUUAGGAGUCUCAAAUAGGGAAGAAAAAUUUAACAGGCGGCUGUUGUGAAAAGCCCUUGCCAGCAAUCUUGGGUGGCUAGACCAACGAUCUUUGUAUGAGUGCAGCAGAUUUAUAUCACGAAUAAGGAAAGGGCCAUAAGUAAAUGACAGCACCUGAUUUUCAUGUGGAUCGUCCCGAAUUCAGAGACACACACACACACAUCAACAUGUCCAUUUUGGGAUGUCAGGGCCGGUGAUGGGAAAAGAUGCUUCUCUGCCGGAAACCCUGGAAUCUUGGCCACCCAUUGGAGUAGACAGUCGUGGCCCGGAUGCAGAAAUGGUUUGAUUGGGUCUGGUUUACCUUCCAACAUUUCUGUGAGUUUCACACGGCAGAUGACCAUGGGAAGUCAGGAGAGGAGAAAUCUCAGAGAAGCCUGAGGGCACAGAAAUGCUGUUCUAGAAUGAGGGUGUCACAAUGCUGAAUUUCAGCUCCCGGGUGCCUGGGUGGCCGUGGAUUUCAGACGUUUGCUCCUUCCGGCGAGGACUCAAAUGUCCUGCUGUCUGGAGUGAACAAGCUCCUGAUGGAGAAGAAAAGCCGGAAGCCUCUGCGUUAUCCCCCCAUGAGCAAGAGGCUCACGUCAACAUGGAGAGAGGAAGAGGCUUCUCUGCAGAGGCGGCAACGGACGGCCAAGCAGGGCCUGGUGGGGAAGGUGGCUAGCUCCUACGCUGAGCUCUUUCAGAGGGAUCUCACCAGCACCUUGGCAGCCACCGGGCCUCACCCACGGUUUUUGGAACCUCCUCCAUCCUUCACCACCACCCAGUCCUCUGAAAGUUCGCUCAGCCCAGAUUCUGGUGCUCCAGACCGAAGCUCCAAGGAAUCUUAUGCAACAACUCGUCUUUCACUCUCCUCCUCUCUGGGAGCAUUUUCGUCCCGCAGAUCGUCUUCCCGGACACCCGUGGGCCCCUCGGUUCUGUCAGCUGAUGAAACAGAGGAUGAUCAAGGAGGCAGGAAAGAGCCAGACCGCCCUCCCGAGACCAAGGAGAAGAAGACUCCGAAGCACAAACCAGCUUCCCCGCACGUACCCCAAGUCGUCGUCCGCCCGGGCUCCGACACCAAGCCCGUCCUCCCGCCCAUCCCGUCAGGCCGGAAGAGACCCAAACCCCAGCCCUCUGAAAGCUUCCUUCCAGCCAUGAUACCGAACCCUUGGCCUUAGCCCUCCAAUCUCUCAAUCUCUCUCUCUCUGUCUCUGUUUCCUCUUUUCAAUGAGAAAUGGGUGGAGGCAAGUGCCUGUAAAUAGCUUAGACUGCUAACCUUCCCUGCCGUGUAGGCCACCAGGAAGGGCUCUUGAGGCAAAGAGGCCGUCCCAAUUAAGGUGUUGGCUUCUUUGGGGGGGGUAGGCGGGCACCUCUUUUCUAACAUGGCGUUCCUCUCGGGACCCUUGCCAGUGAAUGGGGGUCCAGUUUUUGUAACUUAACUUGUUACUUAAAUAUAUUCUCAGUUUCCUGACAGUUUGCAAAGCCCCUUUGGAAACAGGAAGAAUUUUUCUUCAGGCGUCACUUUUAUAGCCCCCCCCCCAAUACCAUCUGUACCACAAAGUGGAGGGCUAAUAUUCAAGCGACGGCAAGGUUACUUAGGGCUUGAUUCCCCCUCCUCCCCCGUAAGUGACAAAGUAGCCUAUUUUUGCACUCUAAAAUAAAUUAAGUGUGCCAUGUGACUACUGCA